This is a long non-coding RNA of Pomacea canaliculata, 4161 nucleotides long. RefSeq lists it as uncharacterized. NCBI's taxonomy places the organism in Eukaryota, Metazoa, Mollusca, Gastropoda, Architaenioglossa, Ampullariidae. The record is from RefSeq and is a predicted model, not a curated record. The transcript is spliced from 3 exons.
GCCCCUGCAAGGCCUUCUGGGAACCUUCUGGCGUCACGGUGUAUCAAGCAAGGCGCCAUAUGCAUUUGGAAAGAUCGGGCUAUGUGGUGUGGACAAAGCAUUGCUUUAUAGAUUCUAGUCCUUUCUUAGUGGAGCACUGCCAUGCCUGAAAGUGAUUAGCAAACAAAACAGAAAGUCGGAGAGCUGCGGCCGAAAUCUCGAGAUUACCUUCAAGCUGUUGAGUACGAUUCCUGCAUUUAACACGCGGGACGCUUGUUUAACAUGGCUGCUGUGGUCUUCGUAAUCCUUAAUGCAAAAGAACGAUUUUUGUGGAAUAUUUCGGUACUAGACAAAGCCACUCGAUGCUUUGGGCGACUAACAGCUGUAUCAAAGAUUUGGUCGGCAGGAUUUUCUGGAAAUAAUGGGUGAUAAAAUAGGUGGUCGGUUUAAAACUGCAUAUCUGGGAUUGAGCGUCAUUCUGAAGACAUGCAUAAGAAUUAAAUUUCCGAGGAGCCUAGAGUCGUCUGCAGCAAGAACUGUUAUUCGAUUGAUGCUCAGGUCUUCUGCUUUGCUGUUCGUUAUGCACAGAUGAAGCACACAGAAUCGCUGCUUUGAGGUACAUAAGAAGAGGAUGGUUUAUGACGCCCACCUUUGAUCACUAUGAGUUACAAGAAGCUUUAUAAUGCAGCACACCAAUACAGAGAGCACAAUAUUGCCAAAUGAUGUCACUGCCUGCAAGGUCAUGGUAUCAAACCAGAAAAGGGAUGCCAUAUUAUAACAGUCUGCUUCAUGCCAAGCAUCAAGGUGAAGAUAAUCGCUCACAAUGAAGAUAAUGGUGUUUACAGGUACUUACUGACAAUGUAUUUACUUAAGAUGUUUCAACUCAAAGGACUUCUGUUACAGAAGGCCAUGCUUAAAGAAACAUUUUUGUUGAUUGGUUGUUCUAAGGUCUGUAGCAUAAUUUUAUAUACAUUUUCACCAGUAUUGCCAAUAAAAACAGUUCACGGUCGGGCGAGGUAGCAUGUCCUUUAACCAUUGAUUCUCAAGACUGCAGGACUUUGUCAACGACCGAGGGGUACUAUCCCCUAGGCUUCAAGAAAAGAUUGAAAACCUGAGACUGUGCAUUUUUAUUUCAUAAUUUUCAUGUAAAAUAGUUUUGAAAUGAGAGUGUGACACCCAGUAUAGCAAUUUAUGUAUUUGGAAUUUAUAACUAUUAGGUCUUGUCAUUUUUUUCUUUACAUAAAUGUAUUCUUAAAACAGUGCCAAAAAAUGAACAAUGCUCCAUGCUCUUAGUCUCAAAGGUUUGUGCUCCACACAGCUGUUUGCCACUCACAACAGUUAAAAUAAGCUUGAUAUUUUUUUAUUUAUUUUUGUUUUUAGUAUCUUCACAUCGCACAAAUGCAAAGUUGAUUUGUCUUUUCCUUUUUUUUCUCUUUUUUUUUUUUUGUUUAAUUUCCAUAUGCAUCUUGAGUUCAGCAUCAGACCGGCUCAGAUUUAAAGCACUCCCCAGGGGAACUUCCAAAAGUAGAGUUAGUGAAAGCAGGCUUCUCAUGUUUUUGAAACAUUAAGUCGUUGCAGUUGACUGCACAGCAGUGUCUUACUUUGGUGUUUCUCUCAUUUAAUUGUUAACUUGUGAUGGAAUUGUAGCACGAGGGAUGAUCAGUCUCCUGCUCCUCUUGACAACAUAAAUUAAGGAUUAGAAUGUGUUUGAUAAUCGAUAUGUGGAGUGCAUUUUUGUCAUGUGAGUUUGAGCUCAGUCUUCCUCAACAAGACAAAUCAUAUGACAACAAUUUUCUGUUAAUGACGUCGAAACUUGUUUUUAUGCUUUAUUUUAGCCAUGUCUUAUCUGAGUACUGCAGGCUCAAUCUAAUGAUAAAGUUAAAGGUAGCAGACAACAUUUGCAAAAAACAUCUAUAUUCUUUUGAGUCUUCCAAAUUUUUUUUUAAGAACACACCAAUAGUCACCUAAGCUAUUCUUUUGCACUCGCCCACACAGCUUGUGCUUAAGGCCAGGCAUGUCCCAAAAAAUUAUGUUUCAUAGAAUGACGCUUGUUGUUUUAUACCAUAUGCUUUGAGCGGAAGUUCAAAAAAUUGUUUUAUUGCCCUUUAUUAAAACCACCAUCUGCUUUUCCUUUUUGGACACUGUUGAAGUUGUGUAAAAUUGCCCAUCUGUCAAAAGUGUUCAAUCAAUCGCAUUUUGCCUGAGCUAGGCGACCCACACCAUGCUCACCCAGCCUCUCUUCCUUAGUUUGCGCAAAGCUGUCCCCAGUCUUUUAUGAGCAUGAUUAAGGCAAUCUAUCUUCUGUACUUUUUGUUCAUAAUCAGGGUGUGGGUUUAGAUCACAAACUGCCUUAUAUGCUGAGGAGUCACCAUCAGAAAGCAUAUCCAUAUAACAAAAACCAAAUUUAUUUAACAGACCUCCCCACACACAAUUUUGGCUGCCUCUGACUCCAUAGCCUUGCUUGAAAGAGAAUGAUUCUUACAGCAAUCUGGGGCAUGCUUUUCUUUCCAAGCAGCUAGUUCAGCUGCUGAUAUCCCUCUUAACUCUGCAAAUUUACAUGCAUGACAAUAUUUUGACAAAGCACAAAAAUUUUUAAGGCCUGUAAAAGAACAAUACCCGGAGGUCAUAGAUUUUUUCCCUCGAGGCACUUUCUUCAGGAUCUAAUGAAAAUAUCAUACCCAAUCAUCCUACUUUCACGACGCCAGUUCCUCUUGUCUUUCACUCUCUCCAACACACCAGUGGUUCGGACAAUUGCGCGUUCUUUCACUCAGAAAACAAAGAUUCGCCUGUACGAGUCUGCUCGUGUUUACUAAACGAAAACUCAAAAGAACAAAUCCUGACUAAAAAAAUACAGUCACUAGCACAACGGCUUCUUCAUUGACUAUCACACUCAAUCUUCUGCUCACUCGCGAGGCACAUUGUCUUGGCAAAGGCUCUCUUCUAAAUCACUCCGUCUUCUAUCCGCUCUCUAACCUCUUUCUCCUUCCACUCACUAACGUUCUUCCUCUAUCUACUCUCUAACGUCCUUUCCUUCUUCUAUCUGCCUUCUAACGUCCUUUUUCUAGCUGCUUCCCAACGUUACCUCAUUUUGACGUCACUUUACGUCAUUUAUCACGUUCCAUUUAUAAACGUCCAUCAUUCGCACCCAUUCAUCCACACACACGCCCAGUCCUAGCACUCUGACUAGAUCCAUGACAUCUACUAACCUUCAUGUCUUACAAAAAAAUAUAUAUAGUAAAAAUAUUAAGGAUGUUAUUUAAUCUAGUACAGAAUCCGCAAAAUCAUUAACAGAUAGCACCAAAGCAUGAAAAAUCCCUUACGUAUCACUUUUUUGUCAUGAUUCUGAAAAGUCGAUAGGGCCAUGCCUGGUAUGCCCAUAACAGUGGAGAAGGUUUGCAACGUAGCAUGGCUUUCUCCGGUUUCGUGACUAAAAAGUGUCAUUGGUUGGUUCACUUCGAAGGUCUCUUUUGUGCUGCCGCUGCCUUGGACACGUGGUGACGAGUUGCCAAAAUGUUAAUAAGGACAAUUAUCACACUUCAAACUAUGAGGAGAAGCCCGUAUUCUCACGUACACAAAUAGUGUAGGAAAGGCACUUCUCCCUGCAUUCGGGACAAGAUACAUCUGCUAGAGAUUUUGCUCUGCCUGCACACAUUUACGAUCAUCUACAUCUGCAGUAAAACAUCACCAAUAUUGCCAGGAAAAUUCAAAGCUUUGAUUUUUUCCCGCGAGGCACUUAUCUCCGGAUCACUAGUAACAGAUGUGUCAGGGUUUUUGGAUGUUGCAUGGCAUCGAAUUGUGCAGAUGCAUUCGUCGUUUUCCUCCAUUUUGAGAAAAAUAACCUUCUGACGCGUGCAGUGAAUGUCUCAGAAAGAAAGAAUACUAUAGUUGCCAUUAUUUCAUUUGUUUACAACCGGAAAGCAUGCUUAGUGGUUUUUGUGACAGCCGAAAAUUUUUGAAGUGUGUUCGGGUGACCUGUAUAUCGGCCAAGGCCAGUAGUGAACACUUGUGAUUGGCUGCAUGUAAAUUGUAAGUACGCAUCGUCCAUAUUUUCCAAUCUUUUGUCUUAUCUCGAAAAGAGCGAGAAUAUACUGGUUGACCUAGUUUUUCAAACAAACGAGUUGCAAAUUCAUAACAUUCUAAUGUCUCAAAAUGGUAACAAAUAAAGAUUUUUGUCAGAUUCUA